RNAcentral lists this ribosomal RNA (382 nucleotides) under uncultured bacterium. RNAcentral's name for it is "bacterial SSU rRNA". It matches the Rfam family "Bacterial small subunit ribosomal RNA", at positions 29 to 414 of the family's 1533-position model. The record is from RNAcentral.
AUUGAACGCUGGCGGCAUGCCUUACACAUGCAAGUCGAACGGUAACAGGCCGCAAGGUGCUGACGAGUGGCGAACGGGUGAGUAAUGCAUCGGAACGUGCCCAGUCGUGGGGGAUAACUGCUCGAAAGAGCAGCUAAUACCGCAUACGACCUGAGGGUGAAAGCGGGGGACCGUAAGGCCUCGCGCGAUUGGAGCGGCCGAUGUCAGAUUAGGUAGUUGGUGAGGUAAAGGCUCACCAAGCCGACGAUCUGUAGCUGGUCUGAGAGGACGACCAGCCACACUGGGACUGAGACACGGCCCAGACUCCUACGGGAGGCAGCAGUGGGGAAUUUUGGACAAUGGACGCAAGUCUGAUCCAGCCAUGCCGCGUGCGGGAAGAAGG